ACAAUGAGGCUCCCUGCUCAGCUCCUGGGGUUGCUAAUGCUCUGGAUCCCUGGAUCCAGUGGGGAUAUUGUGAUGACCCAGACUCCACUCUCCCUGCCCGUCACCCCUGGAGAGCCGGCCUCCAUCUCCUGCAGGUCUAGUCAGAGCCUCCUGCAUAGUGAUGGAAACACCUAUUUGUAUUGGUACCUGCAGAAGCCAGGCCCGUCUCCACAGCUCCUGAUUUAUAGGGUUUCCAACCGUUUUUCUGGGGUCCCAGACAGAUUCAGUGGCAGUGGGUCAGGCACUGAUUUCACACUGAAAAUCAGCAGGGUGGAGGCUGAGGAUGUUGGGGUUUAUUACUGCGCUCAAGCUCUAUAG
Molecule: non-coding RNA, 357 nt
Organism: Pongo pygmaeus (Bornean orangutan)
Lineage: Eukaryota; Metazoa; Chordata; Mammalia; Primates; Hominidae
Source: the annotation of a RefSeq genome assembly